GCCUUCAGGAUGUCCUACAUCAUAAAAACAUCAUUGAGAACAUAUUUUUGUGCUAAUAUCCAUAUAUAAUCUAUGUUCAUAACUUAAGUAUCACAAUAAACAUUAUUCUUUUAGCUCUUACAUAAAACGAGGCGGUAAAGAGCUGAGGUCUGUCGGUCUGCCUGCCAACCUGUCUCGCUUCCUACCCGUCUGUCUCCUUUCCUGUCUGUCUCCUUCUCUGUCUGUCUGUCUGGCUGGCUUCCUACCCGUCUGUCUCCCUUCCUGUCUGUCUCCUUCCCUGUCUGUCUGUCAGUCCGGGUUUCUAACCGUCUGUCUGUCUGUCUGUCUCCCUGUCUGUCUGGCUUCCAACCCAUCUGUCUGUCUCCCUCCCUGUCUGUCUGUCUGACUUCCUCCCUGUCUGCCUGAGUUCCUACCCGUCUAUUUGUCUCGCUGUCUGUUGUCCUGCUCAUCUGUCUGUCUGUCGGUGCAUCCUUCUGUCUAUCUUUGUGGGGUUGCUAGACCAUGUAGGAAACCCUGAUACAAGAGUGCAGCAGGUUAGUUAACAUGUUAUUGAUUGACUAAGAUCGGCCCUUCUGGUGUCCGCCAGAAUGUUUAACAUUUAAAGAACGGUCUUUCCCAGACAGAAUGUUUAAUAUUUAAAGAACGGUCUCUCCCAGACAGAAUGUUUAAUAUUUAAAGAACGGUCUCUCCCAGCCAGAAUGUUUAAUAUUUAAAGAACGGUCUCUCCCAGACAGAAUGUUUAAUAUUUAAAGAACGGUCUCUCCCAGACAGAAUGUUUAAUAUUUAAAGAACGGUCUCUCCCAGCUAGAAUGUUUAAUAUUUAAAGAACGGUCUCUCUCAGCCAGAAUGUUUAAUAUUUAAAGAACGGUCUCUCCCACCCAGAAUGUUUUAUAUAUUUCAGAAUUGUCUUUUCCAGCCAGAAUGUUUAAUAUUUAAAUAAUCUAUUUUGCAUGCUGACAGUGCCAGUGACUCCUAUAAGAGAAAUACAAUAAAAAUGAAAUCAACAAAAAUACAUUUCAACAUACUUUACCGGUUGCCCGUCUUUAUGCCAAUACAAAGUCCGGAUUGAAUGUCCAUAGAAGUAGUAACCAUAGUAACUGUUUGGGGCGCGGGUUUGUAUCCUGCCCCCAUGACUUCCAGAUUUGUAUUUUCAAACCCCAAAUACAGACCAGCAGAUGUAAAAGUUGGAUUAUUAGCAUAACACUCCCCGGUGGACAGUUAUAACACUCCCCGGUGG
Esox lucius (northern pike) is the source of this 1237-nucleotide long non-coding RNA. Lineage: Eukaryota; Metazoa; Chordata; Actinopteri; Esociformes; Esocidae. The record is from Ensembl.